CCCAUUAGAAGGAAAAUAUCAACCGACGGUCUUACCUCCACACACGUCCGAUAAAACUAAAAGCAUAGAGAAAUUAAGAGAGAGUGAAGAAAAUCAUGGAGAGCAAGAAAAUGAUGACAGUGGCAGCUAUGGCUAUGGUGUUCAUGAUCUUGUUAUCGGCCAAUAUGGACACUGUCGAUGCUCAAGGAGUCGAUUGCUGGGACAGUUGCAAUACUGCCUGUGUUGGUCUCCCACUGAGACAAUAUCAGCGUUGUGAUGGGAAGUGCGUCAUUAAGUGCGGACCAGAUGGCAAAAUUUAUGGAAACCUGGGUUGAAAGUGCUAAAAAGCUAGCGAGCUACCAAGGGCUAUUGUUGUCUAUUUGAUAAUAAAUUCGUCAUAGUUUGGGAAAUAAUGUAUUUCACUAUUUGUCAUAAUACAUAUUGUGCAACGUAUUUUCACUAGUUGUCAUAAUACAUGUUGAAAUUAUAGUAGCUAGUUGAAUUUACCGGCCAGGUCAAACUUUCCGUCUUUAAAUGAACUCAAAUAAAUUUUGUCAUGUAUAAUUUACCAAUAGAGUAGAAAUAAGUUGGCAAUCAAUAUAUAUUAUAAAGCUAGGCAUAGACAAGGUGAUGUGACACCUCUCUAUGGCCAAGAAACCUAUUUAUUUUU
Lycium barbarum (goji berry) is the source of this 649-nucleotide long non-coding RNA. RefSeq lists it as uncharacterized. The record is from RefSeq and is a predicted model, not a curated record. The transcript has 3 exons. NCBI's taxonomy places the organism in Eukaryota, Viridiplantae, Streptophyta, Magnoliopsida, Solanales, Solanaceae.